This 492-nucleotide ribosomal RNA is filed under the name uncultured bacterium. RNAcentral describes it as "partial 16S ribosomal RNA". It matches the Rfam family "Bacterial small subunit ribosomal RNA", at positions 29 to 507 of the family's 1533-position model. The record is from RNAcentral.
AGUGAACGCUGGCGGUAGGCCUAACACAUGCAAGUCGAACGGCAGCACAGUAAGAGCUUGCUCUUACGGGUGGCGAGUGGCGGACGGGUGAGGAAUACAUCGGAAUCUACUUUUUCGUGGGGGAUAACGUAGGGAAACUUACGCUAAUACCGCAUACGACCUACGGGUGAAAGCAGGGGAUCUUCGGACCUUGCGCGAUUGAAUGAGCCGAUGUCGGAUUAGCUAGUUGGCGGGGUAAAGGCCCACCAAGGCGACGAUCCGUAGCUGGUCUGAGAGGAUGAUCAGCCACACUGGAACUGAGACACGUUCCAGACUCCUACGGGAGGCAGCAGUGGGGAAUAUUGGACAAUGGGCGCAAGCCUGAUCCAGCCAUACCGCGUGGGUGAAGAAGGCCUUCGGGUUGUAAAGCCCUUUUGUUGGGAAAGAAAAGCAGCAGGUUAAUACCCCGCUGUUCUGACGGUACCCAAAGAAUAAGCACCGGCUAGCUUCGUG